CCAAAAGUACCUCACUGUUCGCAUUUAGCUCUGAAUACUAAUGAGAUCAGGCUGUAAAUGAUCUUUGUAGGCGGCACAGAGCACAGAGAAAGGACCUCUUCAAACUGUUAGAGCCCUCAGUGAGGUCUAAAUCCCGCACGGGACACUUUUAGGGAUGUUCUGACCCAAUUCACAACCAAACAGGAAGAAAUGGCCGAAGCCUAACAAGAUUUAUUUUCAUUUGCUUUCUAGAUUUCGCUCGCUGUAUCUUUAAAGCACUUGAAGUUUUCUUGGCAGCUCAGGGAAGAACUGCAAGUUCAGCCAAAAUAGACAAUAAAGCAAAGGGGAGGAACAUGCCAAAAUGAAAGGGGCAACUAGUUCCAGGGGUUCAUUUUUCCUUCAUGAUUCACGCUGGAAAAGAAAGCACUUCCCUGUCCUCAGAUGAACUCUCGCCGCGCUCUGGAGGAGGGGACGGACGCGCGCGCGCGCGCACAAGCAGAACUGGGUCAACUGCAGACGAGUCAAAAGAAGCGAGAGAGUGUCGUGUUGAGCUGACAGCACAGCUGUGUUUCCAGUGGAUCACAGACAGACAGGUGAUGUGUCCUGUCUGGCUCUUUGGCUGCGCACCAAGUAAUGUGAUCAAUCAGAGGUACUUCAGAAAUCCCGCAGUCGCAGGUGUCACUCAUAAACAAACAUGCUGCUCCAGCUUGAGUUCACGGAGGGCGUCUGUCCUCACGCGCCCCGGGAGCUUUUACCUGCUUGUGUCUUGCAUGGCUGUUGUGUUCAGAGACGAAGAGCGAGGAUCAGCCCUGAUGACCCAGAAAGACGCUCAUGGAUGGGCCUAAUUAGAUCAGCCCGGUGUGACGAACGGGAGAUGACGUCAUGGCUCUGCUGGCCGGUCAUGUGACUGGCUUAAAUUGUGUUUGUGCUCUGAUCUGGGAUCAGAUGACCACUGUAGUGUUACUUAAUCAUAAACUUCAUUAGAGAACCAGGCUAAAUUAUAUACAUUAAAAUAUUAUUUCUGAUUGGAUGAGCCACGUUAGAUUUGUAAAAUGCAGGAUAUUAAAAAUAGCAUUUGUUUAAUCACACAGUAUACAGUGUUAGAUCUCAAGAAUACCACUAAUUUAGCCAUUUAUAUAAAGUGUGCACAGCAAUUUUGCAUCAUUCUCUCUGGCAGCAAGUAUUUUUUUAUUUUACAUAUUGUAUACUUAUUUUAAACGUAAAUAUAUAUUUUUUAAUGUUUAUGAAAGUUUAAAUAAAUAUAAGUGCAUGUUUAAAAACAAUACGACAUUGUAUUUUUAACACUUAAAGUUAUAUACAUAUAAUUUUCACAUUUUAAGAAAUAAAUGUACAUUUAUGUUUAUUCUCCUUGUGGCCUUUUUACAGAUCAUCUGAUCUUUCUCACUAGACUCUCUCACUCUUUAUUUCUUCUCUGUCAAGUUUCUCCUUUAAUCACACCGGUCAUCCCAGUAUAGAUGCAACAUCUGGAUUUCAUCGCCGCUGGAGUGAUGAUAAACACUCUCACAGCUGAUCCAAAACCCACAUCGCACGGAUGGAGUCAGUAGACAUCAGACAGAAGCUCAGAUGAAGCUAUACGUAGAUCCUACUCACUGGAUUAUUGGUAGGCUAUUAGUUGUGUGCUUGUGUGUGUUUGGUAUCUAAUAUACUGCAGAUAAACGGCCUGACAACUGCAUUUUCUCAUUCACAGCCUGCUGUUUCAAUUAUGUGCACAAGAACGUGAUAAUAGAAAAAACAAGAACAAUGUAACUUUGAGCUCCGGCGACGUCUGCUGGCAGCUCUGGGUACUGCAUCGUUCCAGUGCGGCUUUAUUUUGUUACUCAAACAAGCUUGCUUUCCCACAUUAACUUCCAAAACAUUCUUGUAAUAAAACAUAGUAUAUUUCUUUGAAAAAGUGAAGAAUUACCUCUAGCUGUGGUCUCUAAACUACUAUUAACCUGACGUAGGUCCAUGCUGAAUUAGAUUUUUUCCUUGCAUCGCUCAGAUUAAUAGCGUUUCUCUGUGAUUUAGCCCUGGAGAUGUGUCUGUAAUAGCAUAUGCCUUCCAGGCCUAAUUACCCUAAAUGCAAUUUAAGUUUAUUAUCUUUUGUAUCCAGGGAGAACUGCACAACUCCGUUAUUAACCAAACUGUCCUCCUUUCUUACUGUCCGACAAUUUACAGCAGGAUUCAAUCAAGUUACCGUAAGUAAAACCGAUGAUUUUUACUUUCGUUGACGGGAAAGCACUCGAUGGUCAGGCCGCUGUGGGCCUCUGGUCAACAGAAUACUUUUUGCAGUCUUCAUCCACGUCCCAUUGACGGAUUUUGACCAAAAGCAAAUAAACGGAGAACAUUAGAGCAGAAGGCAAAGUAUGCAGUGUGUUAAAAUCCACUCUCAUUCGAGUCACUUAACAGAAUUAUUAAGUAUUGUAUCUUUUAUUAAAUAAAAAAAAAGGCAAGAAAAACCUCAAACCUGGAUUUGUUGUCAUAGUCUGGCAUCAUUUUUCUGUCACUUUACUGUCUAUCCAAGAAGACCAGCCUGAAUUUAUUUUGGUUUAAUAUGCAUAAAUGUGUGUUUUUGUAUUUGUUGUGUAUAUUUUGUUGCAUGCUAGAGUCUGAUAGGAUUAGCUAAGCAACAUAAUAACAGCACACUAUAAGAAGAGUCAUCGUCACUGGAGCAUGGUCACAUGACUUCUGCAGCUCAGGUGAUUGGCUCAGAAAGAUCUCUGAGAGCAAAGAUGUCCGAAUUGAAAUCUCCAGGUAUUACAGAACACCUUGUUUAAACAGACGUUCCUGGUGGCCCGUAACAGUCAUCUGUCACUCAUCGGCCCAGAAAACAGCACCUAAUGGCUUUCACAAGUCAGCGUGGAAUAACUGUUUAUAAUCCAUCAGCCAGGCCUGUUUGAGUUCACAUUGAGAGCUGAGCUCAUUUUGCAUACGGCGAAUUUAAAACCAGCCUAAUGUGGAAAAUGAAACGCUUGGAUCUGAAAAACACAACUUUAUUAACAGGUCUGAGAAUGCCAUUGACAUCCACGCUGACGAUGAGGUCAUGUUUACACAGCGUCUGCUUGAAGAUGAGUCCCAGAAUGCACACACACACACUCACUCAUACAAUGCUUACGGUUGUCUUUUCCUUCUUGACAUCAGACAGAAACUCGGAGAUGAAGCUAUACGCGGACCACAAAAUCACAGAGCAUCAAACAAUAAAAGCCAGUUUGAUUUGUCUUGUUUGACUCUGUUGGCAUCAUUUGUGAGUCGAAUCUCCUGAGGGUCCUACACGUUGUGCACAGAGUUGUUCCCUAUCUAGUGGAUUCCAGAUCAGUCACUUCUGAGGUUUCAGGACAUUUUAAGGAUUAGUUCACUUCAAAAUGUUCCUGUCUUUCUGUUUUCAUUCGCAAAGAAAUUAAGUUU
Long non-coding RNA from Cyprinus carpio carpio, 3384 nucleotides. Lineage: Eukaryota; Metazoa; Chordata; Actinopteri; Cypriniformes; Cyprinidae. The record is from Ensembl.